GCAUCGAUGAAGAACGCAGCGAAAUGCGAUAAGUAAUGUGAAUUGCAGAAUUCAGUGAAUCAUCGAAUCUUUGAACGCACAUUGCGCCCGGUGGUAUUCCAUCGGGCAUGCCUGUUCGAGCGUCAUUUCAACCCUCAAAGCCUAGCUUUGGUGUUGGAGGACGACCCGUGAAACGGUCCCCUCCCAAAAGGAUUGGCGGGCCCGCUGGAAAUUAGAGCGUAGUAAGUUUUACCUCGUUCGCAAGGACUAGCGGGACUUCUGGCCGUAAAAUCUCUCCCCACGUAUUCCAAAAAAAAAUUGACCUCGGAUCAGGUAGGAAUACCCGCUGAACUUAAGCAUAUCAAUAAGCGGAGGA
Molecule: ribosomal RNA, 355 nt
Filed under: Apioplagiostoma populi
Lineage: Eukaryota; Fungi; Ascomycota; Sordariomycetes; Diaporthales; Gnomoniaceae
Description: eukaryotic LSU rRNA
Rfam family: 5.8S ribosomal RNA (bases 1-125)
Source: RNAcentral